This is a non-coding RNA of Camellia sinensis, 1229 nucleotides long. The record is from RefSeq and is a predicted model, not a curated record. NCBI's taxonomy places the organism in Eukaryota, Viridiplantae, Streptophyta, Magnoliopsida, Ericales, Theaceae.
CGAGGCGUGAACGUGAGCGAAUAUUGGGGAUGACAGCUAAUCGUCGCUCAUUUGUUCAUUCUCCGAAUGAUCACAUCACCAAAAGCCUUUUUGAAAAAUGUUCAAGCAUCUUCAGAUUCUACCCUCACCAGGAGGUUGAUGAUAAACAAUAAUUUUUGUCACUCUGGGCCAAGUCAUUAAUGGAAUUGACUAUCAUCUCCACAGUCGUCUUUGCUUGCAUUUUUUUUCUGGAUACGGAAAGAACAUCAUAUAUAUAUCUUAAGGGGAGAGGAGAGGGGCGUGGGAUCGUCGAACCCCCAACUGCCCACCAAGGGUUUACUCCAUGCUUGGAGGGGGGCAAGAGUUGGAAAAAGGAAGAAAAAUGCUUGGAUUUUGGUUCCCUUGGCUUUGAUGUGGAUCAUUUGAGGGGAAAGCAAUCGGGAGAUGUUUGCUUUCUUUGGCAGAUACUUUAGGCUUUAGGGUUGAUUAUUUACCCACAACUUAUUUGGGACUCCUUGGCUCAUCCUUCAAAGCAACUUCAGUUUGGGACGAGUGUGGUGGAGUGUUUUGAAGGGGGACUAGCUACAUGGAAUAGGCACUAUCCUUCAAAGAGGCUAAACUCACUUUUUAUCGAAGUACUUUGUUUGGUUGGGCUGCCUACUUUGUCUUUUUUUUACCAUUCAUGCUUCAGUGGCUCAGAUAUUGGAGAAGUUCUGGAGGAUGGAAAUCUUGCAGGGUAAUGGAUGAGUUGUUCCUGAUAGAUUACCUUGGCUUCAGAAGUAGGACUCAACAGCUGAUGUUCGUCAUCCCCUUUGUUGUAUCGUUCAAAUAUUGAUCUCAUGCUGUUGAGGACUUGAUUGAUCAGCAUACACGUGAAGGAUGCAAUCACAAUCUGCCAUCUCAUACACCUGAUUUCAUCCCAAUGGCAGUGGCAAACUGUUUUGCAAUAGAAAAAAUGUGGGGCAAAAGCUGAAAUUUUUGUCUUAACAGAGCACAAGCUUCCAAGCUCCAGAUGCAAAUCUUUCACACUCCAAGGGUACCAUUUAUGCUUUUCACUUGCUUCGAUGAUCAUAAAUUCAAUGAUCAUAAAGACUAGGGGUGAGUAGCGGAUAUACUGAUUCACCCAAACUGACCGAAUCAAACUGAUCCGCUGCAUUUUGGACGGAUGUGUAAUAACGAGCGGAUGGUUGUGGAUUGAUUUUUUUCAAUCCUCAAAAUAACAAUAUUAAACCCAUCAAUAAAGACAUGCA